AACCCUCGUGCCGUACAGUUUGCGAGGGAGGAGACCGGUUGUUUCUGGCAUCCCCUCUGAAUACAUACAUAUAUACAUACACGUACACGUAUGAUGUAUACGUUUCGCAUACAUGUGUGCGUGCGUGUGCUAUGUAUCCCUCUCCUUCUCCUUCUCCUUCUCCAUCUCUCUCUCUCUCUCUCUCUCUCUCUCUCGAUUUGAUGCCAGUAGCACGAGCGCGCGCUUUCGAACACGACGCGUCGUGUUUGCUGUGAGGGACGAUCAGUCUGUUCUCCACGUUCUCCACGCAAGGACAAUCGUCCGUCGACCGUACUGUUCGAUUCUAAAUCGCGACGUGAACUUUAAUCGGGAAGCAAAUGUGUUUAAUAACUCGUAAAUGACAUGCAUUUAUUUGGUUUACAUGAGAAUCUGCGCUUAUUCUCAUGUAUCGUCGCGAGAUGAAAGUGUGCGGGAUGCCAAUGUGACUGAUGACUCGCGCUUGAAAAUUAAAAAGUUAUCUCUAUAUUUAAACGGUUCAACCCUCUUUUAUUAACGCAAAAGAGUGCGCGAGUAAUAAUACGUUUGGUUUGUUAUGACUCAGUUAGCAUAUUCAAGAUCAUUUUUGUCGUCGCCGCCGCCGCCGCCGCCGUCGCCGUCGUCGUCGUCGUCGUCGUCGUCGUCGUCGUCGUCGUCGUCGUCGUCGUCGUCGUCAUCGUCGUCGUCGUCGUCGUCGUCGUCGUCGUCGUAUCGAUAUUCUGUUCGAUAACCUCGAGAUGAGGCCUCUUUUGGUACUCGCGAUCAUUUGCUUGCUAGCGAAGAUCGUCGAUUGCCGGGCCAUAGAAAAUGAUGAAAAUCGGCGCGGUAAACGACGACAUAGGUUCUCUAUCGAAGAAUUACUCACCAUCAAAUUUUCACAUGUUAUUACCGGAGAUUUGGACAUCGAUAUUUGUAAAGCUGGCGGUUUUCUUGGUGACAUUGCACUGCCAAAUAUUAAAUAUGAUACAGAAUGGCGCGAACAAAAGUUGAAUAAAAGCUACCUGGAAGAAUUAGAGAAAUACAGGGAGGAAAUAUUAAAGGAAGGUCUUCAAGUAGAGGAAGAAGGCCUUACGGAGAUCCUUCAGUUUAAGAGUGAACAUGAUGUUAACAAACAAGUGUUCAAUGAACACAACGAUGCGGUUGUCAAAAAAAAAUCUGAGUCGAUAGAUCGCAAUCAAUAUAGCAUGGGUGGCGAGUCUGAUGGUUUCAGCUUUAACGAUAGGAGCGAUGAUACUAAUCCUGCAGUGAAAAACGAGGGUUUAGUGUUUAGACUGGAAUCCUCGACCCAAGCUUCGAAAAAAAAGUAUUUCGAACGACAAGCUCGUCGACAGAUUUCGAGGACGGUAUUGAUAUCAGAAUCAGUGAAAGCUAGACAUCCGACUCAUGACAUGCCUCUCGAAUUUUCAACCUCUACAGCUUUUACUACCGAGCCCAGUAAAUAUGUAGGUCGUGUAUAUACAGACAACAUCAAGGAAACAUUUAAUGCGCAAACUGAAUUGAAUACGCAAAAUCCAUCGAAUCGACGACGGCGACGUCAUCAUCGUAAAAGAAUUUUAGGAAGACGUUCUCACCAUCAUUGCAAUCGACGAACGCAUGACUUUAUUACCGAUGCAUCGGACGAAGUCAUUUCUGCACACGAUCGACGUCUUCGUUCUAUCGAAUUCUAUAAUAUGGAUCACAAGCCGAAAUUGAUAAACAAGCAUGGCACGAAACACUUUUCAAGCAGAAUACGUCGAGCCGCUACUGCGAGGAAGGAACGAGUAUGGGAUCAUGGGGUCAUUCCCUAUGAGAUUGAUGGAAAUUUUUCUGGUGCACAUAAAGCAUUAUUCAAACAAGCAAUGAGACAUUGGGAAAAUUUUACUUGCGUCAAAUUUGUAGAGAGAGUAUCCAGAGAGCAUCCUAAUUAUAUUCUAUUUACGGAAAGACCUUGCGGAUGCUGUUCUUUUGUCGGAAAAAGAGGUAAUGGACCGCAAGCUAUUAGCAUUGGUAAAAACUGCGAUAAGUUUGGUAUAGUUGUACAUGAAUUAGGUCACGUCGUUGGAUUUUGGCACGAGCAUACUCGACCAGAUCGUGAUCGUCAUGUACAAAUUAUCCGCGAUAAUAUUAUGAGCGGUCAAGAAUACAAUUUUAAUAAAUUGACAGAAGAAGAAGUGAAUUCACUCGGCUUGCCCUAUGAUUAUGACUCCAUCAUGCACUAUGCAAAAAAUACCUUUUCAAAAGGUACUUAUCUGGAUACAAUUUUACCUAUGGAAACUCAUGGAAAAAAGAGACCCGAAAUCGGACAAAGAAUCAGACUAAGCGAAGGCGACAUCGCGCAAACAAAUCUUUUAUAUAAAUGUCAUAAGUGUGGUAGAACAUUUCAGGAGAACAGUGGUAUCUUUGCAUCACCAAACUACCCAAACAAUUCUCCACCUACUGAUGGAGAACGAUGCGAAUGGAGAAUUACGGCUACACAUGGUGAACGUAUCGUCCUAAAUAUCACAUUUCUUGAUAUAUUCAAAAGCAAUUAUUGUCGCAGUGAUUAUCUUGAAAUUCGAGAUGGAUAUUGGCAUAAGAGUCGAGUAUUAGGUCGAUAUUGUGGUAGCGGUAAAAUGCACGAGCCAAUAGUGUCAAGCGGAAGUCGUAUGCUAGUAACAUAUGUGAUAUCUAGCAAGCAAAGUGGUCAUCGUGGCUUCACGGCUAGUUAUGAAGCUGUUUGCGGCGGUGAUGUCGAAUUAGAUGGUAUAGGUCAUUUGGAAUCACCAAAUUAUCCAGAAGAAUAUCAAUCCAGUAAAGAGUGCGUGUGGAAACUGUCCGUACCCCAGGACUAUCAAGUGGCCUUGAAGUUCCAGUCUUUUGAAAUCGAGAACCACGAUAAUUGCGUGUAUGACUACGUUGAAGUGCGUGACGGACAUGACAACGAUUCCCCCUUAAUCGGCGUUUAUUGUGGGUACAAGAUACCACCAGAUAUCAAGUCGGUGGGCAAUAAGCUACUUGUUAAGUUUGUUAGCGACGGUUCCGUACAAAAGGCUGGCUUCUCGGCAACUUUUAUGAAAGAAUUCGAUGAGUGCAUAUUAACGGAUCAUGGUUGCGAGCAUAAUUGUACCAAUACGCUCGGUGGAUAUGAAUGUUCUUGUAAAAUUGGUUACGAGCUACAUUCCGACGGCAAACAUUGCGAAGAUGCAUGUGGUGGAUUUUUUAAUGGUAGUAAUGGCACCAUCACUAGCCCAUCGUUUCCCGAAGCAUAUCCAGGAAAUAAAAAUUGCGUUUGGGAAAUUGUUGCACCAUCUCAAUAUCGCAUUACUUUAAAUUUUACUCAUUUCGAUCUCGAAGGCAAUAAUGUGUAUCAGGAAGAAUGCGAGUAUGAUUCUGUGGAGGUGGCGAGUAAGCUUGGCGACGAUGUUCUCAGAAAGCAUGGAAUAUUUUGCGGUGCUCGGUUACCGUCACUAAUAACAUCCGAGGGAAAUUUCAUGAGAAUUACUUUCACAUCUGAUAACAGGUUUUAUUUUAUCGUCCAAAAAUCAGGAUUUGCUGCCAUAUUUUUUACGGAUAUGGAUGAGUGUGCCAGUAACAAUGGAGGGUGCCAGCACGAGUGCAAAAACACAAUAGGUUCUUAUCAAUGCUCUUGCCACAAUGGUUUUACACUUCAUGAAAAUGGUCAUGAUUGCAAAGAAGGUGGUUGCAAAUACGAAAUUAUUGCACCCGUGGGAACAAUUACUUCACCAAACUAUCCGGAUUAUUAUCCUGGUCGUAAAGAUUGCGUCUGGCAUUUUACUACGAAACCAGGCCAUCGAAUAAAAUUGGUCUUUAAAGUUUUUGAAAUGGAAUCGCAUCAAGAAUGUGCAUAUGAUCAUAUUGUUAUUUACGAUGGAGAUUCGCCAGAUAGUCUUACCUUAGGUAGAUUUUGUGGUACUAAAGAACCGCAUCCAAUUCUUGCAACUGGUAAUCAAAUGUACAUGGUCUUUAAGAGUGACGCUUCCGUGCAAAGAAAAGGAUUUUUAGCGACCCAUAGUACAGCUUGUGGUGGUCAUCUUAUGGCAACAGAUAGAGUGAAGCACUUAUAUUCUCAUGCUAAAUAUGGUUAUCAUAAUUAUGAUCACAAUACAGAUUGUGACUGGAUAAUAGAAGCACCACUUGGCAAAAAUGUUCAUUUAUCUUUUCAUUCAUUCCAACUCGAAUAUGAAACUGAAUGUGGAUAUGACUUUGUUGAAGUGUUCUCCGGUUUAGAUGUUUCCAGUCCUCCAUAUGGGAGAUUUUGCGGUAAUUCUAAUACCACAGAUUUUAUUUCUAUGAACGAAGCGCUACUGGUAAGGUUUAGAACGGAUGAUACAAUUUCGAGCAAAGGUUUCAUAGCCAUAUUUGUAGCAAUCGAUCGACAGGAUAGUGAGGAAAAUUUCGGUGGUGAAGAUGAUGAAGAACAAAAUCUUUGAUUUUUAGCUCGAUUGUUUAAUGAGUUAAAAUAAGUGAAUUCUGAGUUGACUAUUUUUGCAAAAAGAUAUACAACAUUGAAUAAAAUAUAAAAAAAUCGGCCUGAUCGGAGCUUGAAAUAAAUCUGUUUCAAGUAAUAAUCUAAUGUGAUGUGAAUUAUUGAUUAAAUAUGAAUGUGAUGUGAAUUAUUGAUUAAAUAUGAAGUAAUAUUUUCCAUAAUAUGGGGUUAAUAACUAAAUAUAUCACGUGAUGACGCACACAUCGCAUUCUAUAAGAUUUAAAUCUUAAUACAUCGAUUUAUGUGUGUAGUGUUAUUUCUUGAGUCAUAUUAAAGCAACAGACAAGUAUACUCUAUAAAAUAUGUACGAUAUUGUAAUUUCAAUUGCGAAAGUUUGACAAUUGUGACGAUUAUAACGACGACAUAUUUUUUUUAGUUUUUCGCUCGUGCCUCAUGGCAUUUAAAUUAUAAUAUAAGGAAAAUAAAAAGCAAACUAUUCUAUCAAGUAAUAAUUUUAUCGUCACUAAAAAAGCUCCCGUUAAAACUGUAUAUUUAACAAUAAGUUAAUGUAUUUAAGUUUAGUCAACGAAAUAAUUAAUGUGGCAUUAAACAAUUUCUGCAUUUAGAAAAGAAUUAUCAUAUUUGUCUUAAAGUAUAUGUACACUGUAGAUUUUUUAAGCUAGAGCUGGAGCGUGUUAUUUGGAGUCUAGAUAUAUAAACAGAACCUAGAACGUUUUAGCAGGAUGCAAUCUAAGCUCUAAUUAGAGUCGAUAAGAUACAUCUAAGAACAUGUAAUGUAUACAGCCAUCUGAUAUUUUAGACUGCUCUAAGUCUAUUUAUCCAGACAAACAGAUUUCACUUUACUAAAUUUGCUUUUAUCAUGUUUCAUAUGAAAACAUUCAAUAAGUGUUGCAUGGGACAGGAAUAAAACAUUAAAGUUAUUAAAAUUUUAAUGUUUAAAAACAAAUGUUGAAAAAUCACUUUCCUUAGAUAAGUGUUUUAUUUUUUUAUAUUCAGAGACAGAGAUGCGAAUUGCAGUAAAAAUUUGAAAUCUUAAUGAGAUAUACGUAUAAAAUUCAUGAUACGAAUUUAUCUGUCUUUAGCAAACAAUUUUUUUGUUAAUUUAGCAUCAGAACCUUCUUAUUUUCUUCUAACAAUUCAUAUCCUCCUUUUCGAUUUUCAUUUCUUCUUUUUUAACGAUAAAAUUACAAUUACAGCAACAAUAAUAUAUCUAUUUAUAAUGUGACUAAAUACAAAUACAAAGUUUAGAGAUUUCAUUUCUAAACUUUUUCUCUCGCUCCGGCAUAGAAUGUAGAGUGAAAGUGAUGUAAACGGAAGCUAGAUU
This 5765-nucleotide unclassified non-coding RNA is filed under the name Camponotus floridanus (Florida carpenter ant). RNAcentral's name for it is "tolloid-like protein 2, transcript variant X3". The record is from RNAcentral. Lineage: Eukaryota; Metazoa; Arthropoda; Insecta; Hymenoptera; Formicidae.